GAGUUUGAUCUUGGCUCAGAUUGAACGCUGGCGGCAUGCCUUACACAUGCAAGUCGAACGGCAGCACGGGAGCUUGCCCCUGGUGGCGAGUGGCGAACGGGUGAGUAAUGCAUCGGAACGUAUCCUGGAGUGGGGGAUAACGUAGCGAAAGUUACGCUAAUACCGCAUAUUCUGUGAGCAGGAAAGCGGGGGACCUUCGGGCCUCGCGCUCUUGGAGCGGCCGAUGUCGGAUUAGCUAGUUGGUGAGGUAAAGGCUCACCAAGGCGACGAUCCGUAGCAGGUCUGAGAGGAUGAUCUGCCACACUGGAACUGAGACACGGUCCAGACUCCUACGGGAGGCAGCAGUGGGGAAUUUUGGACAAUGGGGGCAACCCUGAUCCAGCCAUGCCGCGUGAGUGAAGAAGGCCU
This 408-nucleotide ribosomal RNA is filed under the name bacterium enrichment culture clone ALO1_GLFRUDD03F6FGG. RNAcentral describes it as "bacterial SSU rRNA". It matches the Rfam family "Bacterial small subunit ribosomal RNA", at positions 9 to 417 of the family's 1533-position model. The record is from RNAcentral.